This 222-nucleotide unclassified non-coding RNA is filed under the name Hevea brasiliensis (rubber tree). The record is from RNAcentral. Lineage: Eukaryota; Viridiplantae; Streptophyta; Magnoliopsida; Malpighiales; Euphorbiaceae.
AAAAAAAAAAUAAAACGAAAAAAGGAGUAAGCUAAGCUACCAUUGGAAUUGGCAAAUGACAUGAGAGAGAGUUACUGACAUUUGCUCUUGGAUCUACCAAACAGCUUUAGCAUAAUAGCAUGGAUGGUGGUGGUGGCGGCGGUGGCGGUGUUGCUGUAACGAGGUUGAAGUCAUUAUUCAAUUAAUGGAGAUGGCGAGAGUGGUUAAAAAUUGGUGGAGCCA